GCCCCAGUAGCUCAAUUGGAUAGAGCGAGGCACUCCUAAGGCCGCGGUUGGGGGUUCGAGUCCCUCCUGGGGCGCCA
RNAcentral lists this transfer RNA (77 nucleotides) under Anaerolineae bacterium. RNAcentral describes it as "tRNA-Arg". It matches the Rfam family "tRNA". Rfam says of the family: Transfer RNA (tRNA) molecules are approximately 80 nucleotides in length. Their secondary structure includes four short double-helical elements and three loops (D, anti-codon, and T loops). Lineage: Bacteria; Bacillati; Chloroflexota; Anaerolineae. The record is from RNAcentral.